Molecule: ribosomal RNA, 403 nt
Filed under: uncultured bacterium
Lineage: Bacteria
Description: partial 16S ribosomal RNA
Rfam family: Bacterial small subunit ribosomal RNA
Source: RNAcentral
AUUGAACGCUGGCGGCAGGCCUAACACAUGCAAGUCGAGCGAGCGGCGGACGGGUGAGUAAUGUAUGGGGACUGCCCGAUAGAGGGGGAUAACUACUGGAAACGGUAGCUAAUACCGCAUACUAUCGGAUAACCCAUAUGGGAUUAGCUAGUAGGUGAGGUAAUGGCUCACCUAGGCGACGAUCCCUAGCUGGUCUGAGAGGAUGAUCAGCCUCACUGGGACGGGGACACGGCCCAGACGACUACGGAGGCAGCGGUGGAGGAUAUUGCACAAUGGGUGCAAGCCUGAUGCAGCCAUGCCACGUGUAGGAAGGGGGCCCUAGGGUUUUAAAGUACUUUCAGUCGGGAGGCGUUACCGACAGAAGAAGCACCGGCUAACGCCGUGCCAGCAGCGGCGGUAAUAC